UACGUAGGGUGCGAGCGUUGUCCGGAAUUACUGGGCGUAAAGAGCUCGUAGGUGGUUUGUCGCGUUGUCCGUGAAAACUCACAACUCAAUUGUGGGCGUGCGGGCGAUACGGGCAGACUGGAGUACUGCAGGGGAGACUGGAAUUCCUGGUGUAGCGGUGGAAUGCGCAGGUAUCAGGAGGAACACCGGUGGCGAAGGCGGGUCUCUGGGCAGUAACUGACGCUGAGGAGCGAAAGCGUGGGGAGCGAACAGG
Molecule: ribosomal RNA, 253 nt
Filed under: uncultured bacterium
Lineage: Bacteria
Description: partial 16S ribosomal RNA
Rfam family: Bacterial small subunit ribosomal RNA
Source: RNAcentral